CCUACGUGAGGCAGCAGUGAGGAAUAUUGGUCAAUGGGCGCGAGCCUGAACCAGCCAAGUAGCGUGAAGGAUGACUGCCCUACGGGUUGUAAACUUCUUUUAUAAAGGAAUAAAGUGAGGCACGUGUGCCUUUUUGUAUGUACUUUAUGAAUAAGGAUCGGCUAACUCCGUGCCAGCAGCCGCGGUAAUACGGAGGAUCCGAGCGUUAUCCGGAUUUAUUGGGUUUAAAGGGAGCGUAGAUGGGUUGUUAAGUCAGUUGUGAAAGUUUGCGGCUCAACCGUAAAAUUGCAAUUGAUACUGGCAGUCUUGAGUACAGGUGAGGUAGGCGGAAUUCGUGGUGUAGCGGUGAAAUGCUUAGAUAUCACGAAGAACUCCGAUUGCGAAGGCAGCUUACUAAACUGCCACUGACAUUGAUGCUCGAAAGUGUGGGUAUCAAACAGGAUUAGAUACCCUUGUAGUC
This 460-nucleotide ribosomal RNA is filed under the name uncultured bacterium. Its description in RNAcentral is "partial 16S ribosomal RNA". It matches the Rfam family "Bacterial small subunit ribosomal RNA", at positions 338 to 795 of the family's 1533-position model. The record is from RNAcentral.